Molecule: ribosomal RNA, 253 nt
Filed under: uncultured bacterium
Lineage: Bacteria
Description: partial 16S ribosomal RNA
Rfam family: Bacterial small subunit ribosomal RNA
Source: RNAcentral
UACGUAGGGUGCGAGCGUUAAUCGGAAUUACUGGGCGUAAAGGGCGCGUAGGCGGCCUUCUAAGUCGAACGUGAAAUCCCCGGGCUCAACCCGGGAACUGCGUCCGAUACUGGAAGGCUUGAAUCCGGGAGAGGGAUGUGGAAUUCCAGGUGUAGCGGUGGAAUGCGCAGAUAUCAGGAGGAACACCGAUGGCGAAGGCAGCUCGCUGGGACGGUACUGACGCUGAGGCGCGAAAGCGUGGGGAGCGAACAGG